Molecule: ribosomal RNA, 192 nt
Filed under: uncultured Azospira sp.
Lineage: Bacteria; Pseudomonadati; Pseudomonadota; Betaproteobacteria; Rhodocyclales; Rhodocyclaceae
Description: partial 16S ribosomal RNA
Rfam family: Bacterial small subunit ribosomal RNA
Source: RNAcentral
CCUCAUGGCCCUUAUGGGUAGGGCUUCACACGUCAUACAAUGGUCGGUACAGAGGGUUGCCAAGCCGCGAGGUGGAGCCAAUCCCAGAAAGCCGAUCGUAGUCCGGAUUGGAGUCUGCAACUCGACUGCGUGAAGUCGGAAUCGCUAGUAAUCGCGGAUCAGCAUGUCGCGGUGAAUACGUUCCCGGGUCUU